Long non-coding RNA from Aethalodelphis obliquidens (Pacific white-sided dolphin), 899 nucleotides. RefSeq lists it as uncharacterized. Lineage: Eukaryota; Metazoa; Chordata; Mammalia; Artiodactyla; Delphinidae. The record is from RefSeq and is a predicted model, not a curated record. The transcript has 2 exons.
UGAGGUCAGCCUCUGCAGGCCUGGGCAGGGCUCCUGAGAGUUUAGGGCGUAAGAGUUUUGGGGAGUUCCCAAAUCGGGCUGCGGACCCUCUGCCUGAGGCUUUGGUUUGAGCCCUGGAUCCGGACUUGUGUUUCCCCGGAAGGAUGGCGUCUCAGUCUUUCCUGAAGUUGGUGGGGUUUGGAUGUUAUUAUUAUUAUUAUCAGCAGUAGUAUUAUUAUUGUUGUUAUUAUUAUCGUUUUGAGGAUACACCGUGUAUAAGAAUUGGUGGUCCUGUGCAGGGUGCCAUGCAGAAUGCCAUGAGUUAGAAGUUGGAGGACGGAGGGCUUAGAGAUACUUGAGGGACGUCCUUAACCUACGUGAAAUGUUGGAGGUUGAGGUGAAAAAUAUGGCUUUGAUAUCUUCAUGGAAAACUGCAUUAUUUCAGUCCUGAAUCUGGUUCGGUUCCCUUAUUGACUCAUUACUAUAUUAAAAAUGUUUAUUUAGCAGUGAUUGUAAAAUGAAAGUAAUUAACAUGUACUUGUUUUUUGUGGGGAGACUAAGGGGAAACACGUGUUCAGCCUAGAAAAACAUUUCUCAUUGAAUUUCUUGUGAAGUCAGUGUGUCUUGGGUUUAACUUUGAAACAAAUUAAAAAAUUUUUAAAUUAAAAAAAAGUUUACUUAACUAUGGUAUUUGUUCUGGUAAAACCUUGUGGUUUAAUAAGAAUUUUUGCAAAUAUCCAUUAUACUCUUCUCAUGGUACAUAAAAGUGUUAAUAUUUUAAAAUCUAUAGGAUAUUCUAUUUCAAAAUUUAGUUCUAUUAUCUUAGUGCUAUCAGAAAAUGUGCUUUGAAUUGCUGAAAUGAGUUGUAUUGGACAACACCUGUCUCAGCAGAGGCACUUAAAAAUCAUUUUCAUGCUUCC